Molecule: unclassified non-coding RNA, 289 nt
Filed under: Hevea brasiliensis (rubber tree)
Lineage: Eukaryota; Viridiplantae; Streptophyta; Magnoliopsida; Malpighiales; Euphorbiaceae
Source: RNAcentral
CGCUUACUCUUCUUUGGUAGCUCUUUAAUACGAAUAAGGCCUCCAUUAGCUUUAGGAACAACUGCUCUCUUUCCUGUAGGGCUCUCGGUUUUUGCAGCAGUCUGAUCACCAAUCAUGGGUUUUUUGGAGUAUCUGGUUCUUUUGCCUCCAGUUCUUGGAGUUACUAAACCUCGAAGAGUUUCUCCAGUUGAUAUUUCAAUUGGCAUCUUCAUUAAUGGCAAUGUUGUAACUGAUAACGGGACAUCUACAGCAUCUUCUAUUGUUGACUUUUUGGAAGGACACGAAUGCA